GGACGCUCACGAGGGUUUCGGCCCUUGUGGGAGUGGCGGACGGGUGAGUAGCGCGUGGGAACCUGCCCUGUUGUGGGGGAUAACCGAGGGAAACUUCGGCUAAUACCGCAUGCGCCCCUGGGGGAGACCUUGGGGGGAAAGAUUUAUCGCAGCAGGAGGGGCCCGCGUCGGAUUAGGUAGUUGGUGGGGUAACGGCCUACCAAGCCUGUGAUCCGUAGCUGGUCUGAGAGGAUGAUCAGCCACACUGGGACUGAGACACGGCCCAGACUCCUACGGGAGGCAGCAGUGGGGAAUAUUGGACAAUGGGCGCAAGCCUGAUCCAGCAAUGCCGCGUGAGUGAUGAAGGCCCUAGGGUUGUAAAGCUCUUUUGUGCGGGAAGAUAAUGACGGUACCGCAAGAAUAAGCCCCGGCUAACUUCGUG
RNAcentral lists this ribosomal RNA (421 nucleotides) under uncultured bacterium. Its description in RNAcentral is "bacterial SSU rRNA". It matches the Rfam family "Bacterial small subunit ribosomal RNA", at positions 64 to 507 of the family's 1533-position model. The record is from RNAcentral.